This 990-nucleotide long non-coding RNA is filed under the name Salvia miltiorrhiza (redroot sage). RNAcentral describes it as "long non-coding RNA (SMIL_LNC006428)". Lineage: Eukaryota; Viridiplantae; Streptophyta; Magnoliopsida; Lamiales; Lamiaceae. The record is from RNAcentral.
GAGAGAGCAGAGAGAGAGGUUGAGAGAGGAAGAUCGAGAGGGAGCCUACCUGAGGCAGGGGUGGCGGUGUGACGGAGACAGCGACGGUGACGGAGGGCCUUGCCGGAGGGGCGGAUUUCAGAGAGGAAAAUGGAGGCAGAAAACCCUAGAAUUUGGGCAUUCUUGAGGUAAAAUAGCUAAACGUUUGAUGCUUAUAUAAUUGAACACUUGGGAGCGUGGAAUGUGAUUAUAUGAUAGAAAGUGGGAGAUAUUGGGUAUGCUACUAUGUGUUGAGCCAAUUUUGAUUUAUGAAUAAGGGAAGCACUACUUUUAGUAUUGAUUGGAGAAGUUGUGGUGAUUAAUUGUGUUAUAACUUGCUUGCUUUGUGUUGAUGAGUUAAACAUGAGUUAAAUUUCAAGCUAAAUCAUGCUAAUGUGUAAUAAGAUGAUGUAAUUGAGUCCCUAUGGUUGUAUUUGACAAAAGUAUGAAUUAUAUGUUAAGUUGAAACAAAGGGACUUUGCUGUCAGUUUUCGGCUUGACAGGGCAGUAUGUUUCGAGGUGCUUCUGAUGGUGUUAUCGUAGUCUAAAUAACUUGAAAUUUUUACUGUAAUAACUUCGGCAUGAGUGGUACGUGUCUGCAAAAUUUCAGCUUAAAUCCAACACCGUUAGAUAUGUCAAACGAAUUUCUGAAAUGUACUGCACGAAGAAGCGUAGGUCAGUGGCAGUUUCUGCCUUUGGUGAUAUAACUUCUUAUACACUUGAGACAUUGUAUUUUUGUAAAUUCCUGAUAAAUAUAGACUUUAAUAUCUUUCUAAAAAGAUAAAGCUUGUAUUUUUCUUUGAAGGGGUUGAUUUUAUAUGAUAUUUCAAAGUUGAGAUUCAUAUAUGAUUACAUAUUUGAAGUGACUUUAAUAUGAUUUCAACUUGAGAUAUCCCAAGAAAUAUGAUGUUAUUGUUUGUUUUGCAGUUAGUUAAGUCCAUAAAAGUAGAAUACUCAGAUUAGAGGAUGCAA